Molecule: ribosomal RNA, 285 nt
Filed under: uncultured Desulfocapsa sp.
Lineage: Bacteria; Pseudomonadati; Thermodesulfobacteriota; Desulfobulbia; Desulfobulbales; Desulfocapsaceae
Description: partial 16S ribosomal RNA
Rfam family: Bacterial small subunit ribosomal RNA
Source: RNAcentral
AGCGCAACCCUCGCCUUUAGUUGCCAGCAUUCAGUUGGGCACUCUAAAGGGACUGCCGGUGUCAAACCGGAGGAAGGUGGGAUGACGUCAAGUCCUCAUGGCCUUUAUGUCUAGGGCUACACACGUACUACAAUGGCAGGUACAAAGGGCAGCGACACAGCGAUGUGAUGCGAAUCCCGAAAAGCCUGUCUCAGUCCGGAUCGGAGUCUGCAACUCGACUCCGUGAAGUUGGAAUCGCUAGUAAUCGUGGAUCAGCAUGCCACGGUGAAUACGUUCCCGGGCCUU